AUUGAACGCUGGCGGCAGGCCUAACACAUGCAAGUCGAACGGUAACAGGAAGAUGCUUGCUUCUUUGCUGACGAGUGGCGGACGGGUGAGUAAUGUCUGGGAAACUGCCUGAUGGAGGGGGAUAACUACUGGAAACGGUAGCUAAUACCGCAUAACGUCGCAAGACCAAAGAGGGGGACCUUCGGGCCUCUUGCCUUCGGAUGUGCCCAGAUGGGAUUAGCUAGUAGGUGGGGUAACGGCUCACCUAGGCGACGAUCCCUAGCUGGUCUGAGAGGAUGACCAGCCACACUGGAACUGAGACACGGUCCAGACUCCUACGGGAGGCAGCAGUGGGGAAUAUUGCACAAUGGGCGCAAGCCUGAUGCAGCCAUGCCGCGUGUAUGAAGAAGGCCUUCGGGUUGUAAAGUACUUUCAGCGGGGAGGAAGGGAGUAAAGUUAAUACCUUUGCUCAUUGACGUUACCCGCAGAAGAAGCACCGGCUAACUCCGUG
Molecule: ribosomal RNA, 490 nt
Filed under: uncultured bacterium
Lineage: Bacteria
Description: partial 16S ribosomal RNA
Rfam family: Bacterial small subunit ribosomal RNA
Source: RNAcentral